UGGCCGUAGCUAUAUGAAACAAUUUGACUUGAGAAGUUAAGUGGCUAGUUGUUGUAAAUCUAAUGACAUAUUUGCUUACCGAACUUCUUACAUUU
RNAcentral lists this small nucleolar RNA (95 nucleotides) under Nicotiana sylvestris (wood tobacco). Its description in RNAcentral is "Small nucleolar RNA snoR109". It matches the Rfam family "Small nucleolar RNA snoR109". Lineage: Eukaryota; Viridiplantae; Streptophyta; Magnoliopsida; Solanales; Solanaceae. RNAcentral also lists the same sequence under 1 other name. The record is from Rfam by way of RNAcentral.